This 435-nucleotide ribosomal RNA is filed under the name uncultured bacterium. RNAcentral describes it as "partial 16S ribosomal RNA". It matches the Rfam family "Bacterial small subunit ribosomal RNA", at positions 29 to 507 of the family's 1533-position model. The record is from RNAcentral.
AACGAACGCUGGCGGCAGGCCUAACACAUGCAAGUCGAACGCAUGCCUGCGGGCAUUUCUUGCAGACUGGUGCCUAACGCCUGGGAACCCACCCCUUGGUACGCGAUAGCUCCGGGAAACAGAACAUAAUACCGCAUGUGUCAUGAGGGUAAAACAUUGUUCGCCACGGGAUGGGCCCGCGUAGGACUAGCUGGCUGUUGGGGAUACGGCAUACCAAGGCGAGUAACCGUAGCUGGUCUAUGAGGGUGUUCAGACACAUUGGUACUGAGACACAGCCCAAACUCCUACGGGAGGCAGCAGUGGGGAAUAGUGGACAAUGGGCGCAAGCCUGAUCGUGCCAUGCCGCGUGAGUGAUGAAGGCCCUAGAGUUGUAAAGCUCUUUCAACGGUGACGAUCAUGACGGUAACCGGAGAAGAAGCCCCGGCUAACUUCGUG